This is a long non-coding RNA of Heterocephalus glaber (naked mole-rat), 1268 nucleotides long. Lineage: Eukaryota; Metazoa; Chordata; Mammalia; Rodentia; Bathyergidae. The record is from Ensembl.
CUCAGUGCAAAGGCCCUAGAUCAGUCCAUCUCCAGAGAUAUAUAGAUAGACAGACAGACUUCUGGCUCCUCCAAUAGGCUGGAACUAGGAGUUGGGGAUCCAUUCUCAGCUUCUCUGGAUAUGGUAGUGCUCAGUGACAAUUGGGAAUCGUGCUGGUGUCAAUGCAAGAUGCAGAAUGUGAUAACAAGUCUCAGUAGUUCUCAACCAUAAAUGAUCCAUAAACUGGGCCUAGUAGCACACCACCUGUAAGACCAGCACUCUGGGAGGCUGAGGCAGGAGGGCUGCAAUUUCAAGCCCAGUCUGGCCAAUUUAGUGACUUACUGAGACCCUGUCUCAAAAUGAAAGAUAAAGGGCUGGGGAUGCAUCUCAGUGCAAAGGCCCUGACUUCAGUCCCUAGAAUCACCAAGUACACACACACACACACACACACACGCAUACACACACACAGUGUCGAUAGAAUAAUACCUCACUCAUUCUCAUCUACUACGGGCCAGAUGCUGUCUGUGCCUAAACAAGAAAUACAGUCUCACAGAGUUUCAAAUCUAGCAACACCACUAUCACUACCUCCCGCACCACCACCCACCAAAGAGAAGACGAUGAUAAAAGCAAGCAAGGUCGAAGCCUCUUGCAUUUAAGUGACAAGAGAUAUGACUCUAAACUGCAGUGGAUCAUUUUUCCCCUGGUAGAUGUUCCAGGACAGGAACAAGGACAACCAUCUCCCUCCCCCACUACUCUUUUAAAACAAACAAAAAGAGAAGAAAGGAGGAAUCUUUUUUUUGGUACUGGGGAUCGAACUCAGGUCUUUGCACUUGCACCACAGGCAGCGAAACCACUGAGCUAAAUCCCCGGCCCAAAAAGGAGGAAUCUUGAAGAUGGGUUGAUAAUUCCUUGUCUGAUUGUCUGGAUGCCAUACCUGAAACUGAUAAGUCAAAUUCUAACUGGACAUACCUCAGAAAACUACAUUCCAAAUGAAGUCAGUGCCUUUCUGUAUUAUAUGAACAAACUGGAACUCAAGAUGAAAAGAUCUCUAGCUCAUAGGAAGGUCUCCACGGCAUGAACUGACGCUUCCAUCAAACCUAGGCCUGAAGAAAAUGGAAAGGCAGUGAAACACAGCAACCUAGGUGAACUUUUGUACAUGAGCUGAAGCCGAUCCCAGAACACAGGUGCAUAAUUGUAAUCCUGAGGCUGAGGCAGGAAGAUCUCAAACUCAAAGUGCUGGCAUGGGCAAUUUAGCAGCUUUGCGAGCUUUGUCUCAAACUAAAAAUAAC